AGCUAACGCAUUAAGCUCCCCGCCUGGGGAGUACGAUCGCAAGAUUAAAACUCAAAGGAAUCGACGGGGCCCCGCACAAGCAGCGGAGCAUGCGGCUUAAUUCGACGCAACGCGAAGAACCUUACCAAGGCUUGACAUAUACAGGAAUACGGCAGAGAUGUCGUAGCCGCAAGGUCUGUAUACAGGUGGUGCAUGGUCGUCGUCAGCUCGUGUCGUGAGAUGUUGGGUUAAGUCCCGCAACGAGCGCAACCCUCGUUCUGUGUUGCCAGCAUUUAGUUGGGGACUCACAGGAGACUGCCGGGGUUAACUCGGAGGAAGGUGGGGAUGACGUCAAAUCAUCAUGCCCCUUAUGUCUUGGGCUGCACGCAUGCUACAAUGGCUGGUACAAACGGCUGCGAUACCGCAAGGUGGAGCGAAUCCGAUAAAGCCAGUCUCAGUUCGGAUUGGGGUCUGCAACUCGACCCCAUGAAGUCGGAGUUGCUAGUAAUCGUAGAUCAGCAACGCUACGGUGAAUACGUUCCCGGGGCUUGUACACACCGCCCGUCACAUCACGAAAGUCGGUAACACCCAAAGUCAGUGCCCAACC
This 586-nucleotide ribosomal RNA is filed under the name uncultured Actinomycetes bacterium. RNAcentral's name for it is "bacterial SSU rRNA". It matches the Rfam family "Bacterial small subunit ribosomal RNA", at positions 850 to 1440 of the family's 1533-position model. Lineage: Bacteria; Bacillati; Actinomycetota; Actinomycetes. The record is from RNAcentral.